ACGCUCGACACCUACGGGAGACAGCAGUGGGGGAUAUUGCACAAUGGAGGAAACUCUGAUGCAGCGACGCCGCGUGAGGGAAGACGGUUUUCGGAUUGUAAACCUCUGUCUUCAGGGACGAAAUGAAUGACGGUACCUGAGGAGGAAGCUCCGGCUAACUACGUGCCAGCAGCCGCGGUAAUCUGAGCGGGCUGGCAAGGC
Molecule: ribosomal RNA, 201 nt
Filed under: uncultured bacterium
Lineage: Bacteria
Description: partial 16S ribosomal RNA
Rfam family: Bacterial small subunit ribosomal RNA
Source: RNAcentral